UUUAGCUGUAGCUUAGCAUAGAACAUUGAAUCUGGUUAGACCGUAGCAUCAAGCUUACAAAUGACCAAUGAUUUUUUAUAUUUUUCCUAUUUAAAAUAAAAAAAUGCAUCAUGUACUAAAACCACUGAAAAAAUAUAUCUAUAUAGCAGUAUUGCGCAGUUUGCAUCCUUCAGAUCUUCACAGAGUCUUUAGUUUUAUCAUAAUAUUAUUCUCUUUGAAAAGCCAAGCUCCUGGAGGCACGCCGUGGGCGGAGCUAAAGAGUGACGUAUACUUGAGUGCCGAACACAGAAAUUUGAUGCAGUUUUACUUACAGCCUGUGAUUCUGAAUGACCUGGAUGGGAUUGCUCCAUCUCUUAAUGUCAAACGAUGUACAAACAUAGGGUCAAACUGGACCUUUUUUAUAAACACGCUUGAAACUCAGAUGCUUCCCUAAAAACAAAAUACAUCCACAGUUCACUUAAUGCUGAGUUCUUUUGGACAUGGUUAUCUUUCCCUUACAACCAAAACACGACUUUGGGAGACAUUCUUCUCAAGAAAGUCCUGUGCAUUGCUGUCGAAUGAAACACGUUGAUGGGUGUGCUUUCACCAAAGCUCUGGGGUGUGUUUCCCAAAAGCAGUUAUGGUAAUAAAGUCUGUCUUUACUAAUAGAGUUUAAUGAAUGUUAUUUGGAAAUGCAUCCUGGGUUGAUAUGUAUGGGUGCGCGAUUCCGGGAGAAAUGCCCAUACAAGGAAUUCCACCUUUUGUGAUGUCAUAAAGAGCAUGAAUUCGGAAGGAGUGUAUUUGGCAUGUGUUUACUUCAGCCAUGUUUAGCACGAUCCAACUCUUUAACAGUGCAACAGUGCGUAUAAAAAAAAAUAUUUUAAAAAACGUGACAAUACAUCGAGGUCUUAAGACAUGAAAAAAUCUGUCUUUGUAAAAAACUGAACAGUAUUUAAUUCAUUUUUUACCACCACUAUUUCCAAUGGUACUAAGCUUGUUUACAACAGCGGGCGCUCAGUGUAUCAUGAAGAGCCGCAGGGUUUCACUUGGCUUUGUUUGUGUAUGUUUUUUUGACUCUUAAACCCACGAGUCCCAUUUACUGCCAUGAUAUGACUGGCAGACUGCAACGGUUUGAGUUAAAACACUUUGUUUUCUGCUGAUGAAACAAAGUCACCUGUAUCUUGGAUGCCCUGGGGGUAAGCAGAUGAACAUCAAAUUUUCAUUUUUGGGUGAACUAUCCCUUUAAGUGCCUCAAACAACUAUCUACUGCUUGUUUUGUAUACACCAGGCCAUCAAUGGACGAGCUGUGCAUGGUCCGCAGGAGGAAGUUUAAGAACUUUGUGCCAGGGAUGGCUGUCUGAAGUCACAAAAGUUUUGGUGUUUGAGGGAGUAAACAGGAAACAUAGUUGAACAUCACCACCAAUCUUUGCUCAAGAGAGCGGAACAGAAUCAUGGCAGAAAGGAAUGAAAACAACAAGGCUUAUCUGGGAGCUGCAGUCCUGCUAGACAUGCAACAUAUUUGGCCCACUGCACUGGAAACUAAAUGGAAUAUUAGCAUCUACCGGAAAACAAAAUUCCAUAUCCCUCACGUUUGCCAGAAUCAGUUAUCUGCAAUCAACAUUGCAAAGAGGACUUGACUCCCUUCCAAAGACUGAAGUACAGGAUGAAGACAACCACAACAAGGCAGAUGGCGAGCUCCCAGCGAGGAAGACCCAGGUCAUUGAUGCCUUUACUCUCAUGCAUGUGCAGCACCCCGC
Puntigrus tetrazona (Sumatra barb) is the source of this 1736-nucleotide long non-coding RNA. RefSeq lists it as uncharacterized. The record is from RefSeq and is a predicted model, not a curated record. The transcript has 3 exons. NCBI's taxonomy places the organism in Eukaryota, Metazoa, Chordata, Actinopteri, Cypriniformes, Cyprinidae.